AACAUUUUGCUAUGUGGAAUAAGAUAGAAUUUCUGUACCUAUUCUCUCCAUGUGGUGUUGUUCUAUCGGUAUGUAUCUCUGUUUUUGGCUAUUUUCUUUUGCUAAUUUCCAGUUUUGCUUUGGGUUUUUGUUGUCGUUUAUAUUGCUCUUGUUGUUGUCGUUGGUGAUGGUGUUACAUUGUGAGGCUGUGAUGAUUGAGGUGUCUAGAUUUCAUGGGGUAACAGAGCUAUGCCCGUAUAUUGGCGAGGCAACCUAGAAGGCCUUAUUUGCAGAGCAACCGAAACUUUGCAGCCAUGUUUGAUGUAUUAUCUCAUUUGCCCUGAUUAUAGUAAUCUGAGCCUUUUUGGGUAAUUUAAUUUCUGUGCAUGUUUCAUAUACCAAACAUAGUAUAUGUGAUAAAGUGUAGCCACAAGGUCAUGGGUUCAUGUUUUAGAAACAAACUCUUGCAUGGGUAAGGCUGCGAAUAAUAGUCCCCUUGUGGUCCAACCCUUCUUAGGACUCAUGCAUAGUGAGAUUGAGUGCACUGGGCUAACUUUUUUUUUUUUUUUAAAGUAAAUGUGCUGUAGAUUGAAUUUUUCUUAUUUUUUAUCUACGUCGAGAAAAGGGUUGAUUUGAGUUUGUUUAGUUUCUUGGGGUAAAUGUGAUAAAGAUUUGAUUUUUAUUGAACUAUUUGGAGAAAAGGUUGAUCUUUAGAAGUGGGAUUGAUGCAGAGUUGGGUUAUUUCAUCUUCUUGGUAAAAAGUUUUGAUUGUUCUAUUUUCUUUUAUGCAGAACAAGUAUACAUGGAUGAUAUAGAAGAAAUUCUUGAUGAGUUCAUGAUAUCUCUAAAUAGUAAAGACAAUGAUGGCAGCCUUGAAGAGGUACAAUGCCAGCUCCUUGUCAGUGUAAUUUGUAUUAUUUUUGUUGGCCUUUUGGCUGUUAGAGUAGCUUAUAAUAUUAUGAGGAAUUAAGUCUUGUAGACAGUGAAUUAGGUGAAAUAGUUUUUAUACAUAUAGUUGUUUUUCCUAUUGCUAUAUAUUCACUAUAUCUUCGGCGAGGUCAUAAUUCAUCCGAUAUGUAACUGAAUUCUAUAACUCGAUUAGCUUGACUUUAGAAUGAACAAAGAGGGAAAUAAAAUAGUCCUACAGUGGACCAAGAAAAUAGAAUAGUGCUACAGUGAAGCCAAAGAGAAAACAAACUAUUACUGCGGCUUGAAAAAGGGCAGGUAUUUCAAUUUUCCAAUUUUUACUUAUAUGUUUUGUUGUAUUGUAAAGAUAAUACAUGAACUGAAGCAUAAUUCAAAAUAAAAUUAUAUCUCAGGACCAAUAUUCUCCCCACAGAACUGCAUUUUCAUAUUGUCUAUUAGAUAAAUGGCUUAUAAGGUUGAAGGAUCUAUUUAUAUGAAUUGAUCAUCAAAGGCUGACAAGAUUCAUUUCUUCAGUGGACUGGUACACUGUGCAUCUAAAGAUGUUGAGAUCAAAAAAUGUUUGUACAACAAUUCUUCUAAAAGUUUAGUCAUUCAUCAAUAAUUUAAGGUUAAAACACCCAUAUACAAGCAGCAACAACAACAACAACAAGCUCAGGCACGAUAACAACUUAACAACUCAGCCACAACUACUACACCUUCAAAGCAUGAAUCAAAGUAAUAGAUUUUGGGAAUAUCCAAUCUUCGUAUAGUAAAAGAGUAGGUAUACCACCACCUCACUCGCGAGUGCCUCCUAUUUCACCAUAUUCUCAGAUCCUUUUAAUCAGGCCAUGGAAUCAGCAAAUAGGUAUGCAGAAUUUUAGCAGUCCAGGGCAAUCACAUUUGCGAUCUUUAUAACAACCAGCUAUUCUUUUUUGAAGAAAUAGUUUGAUACACAAAACUGAUACAAUGUGAUUUAUAGUUGGAAACCAUCUAAUCAAUGUGUGUGGUUGCAUCCUUUGCUGUUUUUGCGAAACUCGACUUUCAUUCGUCAAGCAUUACAUUUCUAAUGUAAGGAUUCUCACACUCUUUUAUAGCCCAAUUUAGUGUAUAUUUUGAUGAUAUUGUUACUCAUGUCAUAAAGAGGAUAUGUAACAUUCAAUGCCUUAAUUUCACUUGAUUAAGAGCCGAACAACUUAUUAUAUUCCUUUUACUGUCUAGGCAGAGGACUUAGUGUAUGGAGGGUACUUUAAUGAAAUGGAUGUCUCGUGCAAUUUCAAAAAUUGGGUAUUUUAGCAUCUUGUGAUUUUAUUAUUUUCCCAACUUUUUUCCAUGGUCUGAGUCAUAUGUGCGUUAUAUGCAGGUUUUAUGUUGUUAUACUAAACAAUGUGAAUUAUCAUCGUGUAGUAGAUGAAAAGAUCCUGGUGGAUAUUUGCUGUAUCAAUUGUAGCGACUUGUGGGAUGUUUCAGUGUAUGUUCAGUUUUAAGUUAAUUUUCAUUGAUCUUUCGUGCUAUGUUUUGCCCGACCUAAAGAUCUACGACUCUUCUUUUUUCAAUUUGGGAAGAAGGGGUAAGGUGGUGGCCAUUUGGGAACGUGAAUGAAAGAGCAAGGAACUUAAUAAUCGUGCUUUCCAUUAGAAAUUUUAUUGUAGAAAUUUAUAUCCCCAUUUCGGCUGGGGUGUGAAGUUGGAAGACUAUAUAGUCGUAAAG
RNAcentral lists this long non-coding RNA (2592 nucleotides) under Capsicum annuum. Its description in RNAcentral is "long non-coding RNA (CANN_LNC017555)". The record is from RNAcentral. Lineage: Eukaryota; Viridiplantae; Streptophyta; Magnoliopsida; Solanales; Solanaceae.